Molecule: transfer-messenger RNA, 363 nt
Filed under: Pantoea wallisii
Lineage: Bacteria; Pseudomonadati; Pseudomonadota; Gammaproteobacteria; Enterobacterales; Erwiniaceae
Description: Standard tmRNA
Rfam family: transfer-messenger RNA
About the family: Bacterial tmRNA, also known as 10Sa RNA or SsrA, is named for its dual tRNA and mRNA-like properties. Its role is to liberate the mRNA from a stalled ribosome. To accomplish this part of the tmRNA is used as a reading frame that ends in a translation stop signal.
Source: RNAcentral
GGGGCUGAUUCUGGACUCGACGGGAUUGUGAAGCCUUAGGAGCAUGCCGAGGGGCGGUUUGCCUCGUAAAAAGCCGCAAAAAAAUAGUCGCAAACGACGAAAACUACGCUUUAGCAGCUUAAUAACCUGCUUUGAAGCCCUCUCUCCCUAGCUUCCGCUCUUAAGACGGGGAUCAAGAGAGGUCAAACCCAAAAGAGAUCGUGUGGAUGCCCUGCCUGGGGUUGAAGCAUUAAAUCUAAUCAGGCUAGUCUGUCAGUGGCGUGUCUGUCCGCAGCUGCCAGGCGAAUGUAAAGACUGACUAAGCAUGUAGUGCCGACGGUGUAGUAAUUUCGGACGCGGGUUCAACUCCCGCCAGCUCCACCA